GUCACUUUGCCGGAGUGGUUAACGGGAUCGCCUGCUACUGCGGUAGCUUAGUCAGCGGUUGGGCUUUGCCCGCGAGUGUUCGAAUCGCUCAGGUGACG
Non-coding RNA from Obba rivulosa, 98 nucleotides. NCBI's taxonomy places the organism in Eukaryota, Fungi, Basidiomycota, Agaricomycetes, Polyporales, Gelatoporiaceae. The record is from the annotation of a GenBank genome assembly.